UAGCCUUAGCUGAGUGGAUAACGCGAAGGCAUUUGAAGCGAAAGGUACUAGGUUCGAGUCCUAGAGUGAACA
This 72-nucleotide transfer RNA is filed under the name Schistosoma mansoni. The record is from RNAcentral. Lineage: Eukaryota; Metazoa; Platyhelminthes; Trematoda; Strigeidida; Schistosomatidae.